UACACAUGCAAGUCGAACGGAACUUCGGGUUUAGUGGCGGACGGGUGAGUAACGCGUGAGAAUCUGCCUCUAGGUCGGGGACAACAACUGGAAACGGUUGCUAAUACCCGAUGUGCAGCAAUGUGAAAGAUUUAUUGCCUAGAGAUGAGCUCGCGUCUGAUUAGCUAGUAGGUGUGGUAAUGGCGCACCUAGGCGACGAUCAGUAACUGGUCUGAGAGGAUGACCAGUCACACUGGGACUGAGACACGGCCCAGACUCCUACGGGAGGCAGCAGUGGGGAAUUUUCCGCAAUGGGCGAAAGCCUGACGGAGCAAUACCGCGUGAGGGACGAAGGCUUUUGGGUCGUAAACCUCUUUUCCCUGAGAAGAAGAUCUGACGGUAUCAGGCGAAUCAGCAUCGGCUAACUUCGUGCCAGCAGCCGCGGUAAUACGAGGGAUGCAAGCGUUAUCCGGAAUUAUUGGGCGUAAAGCGUCCGCAGGUGGCUCUGUAAGUCUGCCGUUAAAGAAUGGGGCUCAACCCCAUACAGGCGAUGGAAAACUAAAGGCUAGAGU
This 551-nucleotide ribosomal RNA is filed under the name uncultured cyanobacterium. Its description in RNAcentral is "bacterial SSU rRNA". It matches the Rfam family "Bacterial small subunit ribosomal RNA", at positions 50 to 647 of the family's 1533-position model. Lineage: Bacteria; Bacillati; Cyanobacteriota. The record is from RNAcentral.